This 66-nucleotide transfer RNA is filed under the name Tritia sp. t LAG-2017. RNAcentral describes it as "tRNA-His". It matches the Rfam family "tRNA". From Rfam's summary of the family: Transfer RNA (tRNA) molecules are approximately 80 nucleotides in length. Their secondary structure includes four short double-helical elements and three loops (D, anti-codon, and T loops). The record is from RNAcentral. Lineage: Eukaryota; Metazoa; Mollusca; Gastropoda; Neogastropoda; Nassariidae.
GUCAAGUUAGUUUAACAAAAACGUCAGCCUGUGGAUUUGAAGAUGAAAAUUUUAUUUCACUUGACC